UUAAUUCCCUUCUGCGUAACCUAAACUUCAAUUCCUCCCAUAGAGCAUUCCCGAAUCCGGAGGUCGCACGCCUCACGCUUUGGUGAGGACAUCAACGGCCGACCCGCUACCCUAUGCGUGGAGGCGACGACGCCCCGGCCGCCUCGCGCGGCGGCUCCGAGGUCGCCUCCCUCAACCACGGGGACGCCCGCAGCUGCCUCACACGGGGCAAGUAACGUACAUUGUUCUCUGAUGCAAAUCCUAAUUAGGGUUUUGAUCGAUUCUAAAUCAUUCUUCUAUCGCCGGCUUUCCUCUAGUCUAUUGCAUCGUCAGUGAUUUACAUCCACUCGCCAUCACAAUGAUGGGAGAGGCAAGAUGCCGACAAUAGAAACGACAUUGGGUCGAAGCGGAAUAAAGGUAAAUAUAUUUGCCCAUCUCCAAAAUGCGAGUGAAGCAAUUAGAACUUAUAUUAGAGAUGGACUUGCUCAGAUGAAGAAGAAUGUAGCAGCUGGAAGGACACCUUCCCCGUCUUCCCAUGGAUUGGCAACUAUUUCAUCUCAAGUUUGAACCGCUUUCUCUUGUACACACAAAGUCAGUUAAUGCAAAAGUUGAAAGCAUAUAUCCAAGUACAUACAUAGAUGAUGGUGUUGCUCGAACAACUACAUUAAGAAGUCAAAUUGAUUUGACCUUUCAGAGUUUAGGUCUCAUUUAGGUGAUGAGCAAACGGAGUUAUAAUGAAGGAGGAUUUGGUCUCCGUGAGCAUCGUGAUAGAAGAAAUAAAGAUUAAAUUACUUAUGGUGAGAUUUGAAAAUUUAUUAAUUAUUUAUAGUUUGAUUAAUAGUUAAAUUUAUUUGGAUGAUGUAAAUAUUUAUUUAUCUCGAUG
This is a long non-coding RNA of Zingiber officinale, 862 nucleotides long. RefSeq lists it as uncharacterized. The transcript has 3 exons. Lineage: Eukaryota; Viridiplantae; Streptophyta; Magnoliopsida; Zingiberales; Zingiberaceae. The record is from RefSeq and is a predicted model, not a curated record.